This 484-nucleotide ribosomal RNA is filed under the name uncultured bacterium. Its description in RNAcentral is "partial 16S ribosomal RNA". It matches the Rfam family "Bacterial small subunit ribosomal RNA", at positions 30 to 507 of the family's 1533-position model. The record is from RNAcentral.
AUUGAACGCUGGCGGCAGGCCUAACACAUGCAAGUCGAGCGGAAGAGGGGAGCUUGCUCCUGGUUUCAGCGGCGGACGGGUGAGUAAUGCCUAGGAAUCUGCCUGGUAGUGGGGGAUAACGUCCGGAAACGGGCGCUAAUACCGCAUACGUCCUGCGGGAGAAAGUGGGGGAUCUUCGGACCUUACGCUAUCAGAUGAGCCUAGGUCGGAUUAGCUAGUUGGUGGGGUAAAGGCCUACCAAGGCGACGAUCCGUAACUGGUCUGAGAGGAUGAUCAGUCACACUGGAACUGGGACACGGUCCAGACUCCUACGGGAGGCAGCAGUGGGGAAUAUUGGACAAUGGGCGAAAGCCUGAUCCAGCCAUGCCGCGUGUGUGAAGAAGGUCUUCGGAUUGUAAAGCACUUUAAGUUGGGAGGAAGGGCAGUAAGUUAAUACCUUGCUGUUUUGACGUUACCGACAGAAUAAGCACCGGCUAACUUCGUG